AACGACCGAGGAGACGCUAUUUUCACAUGGAGAAUGUUUUCAGCUGUUGAAUUCACCUCAGAUCAGUGUUGCUGUAAUUC
Molecule: non-coding RNA, 80 nt
Organism: Danio rerio (zebrafish)
Lineage: Eukaryota; Metazoa; Chordata; Actinopteri; Cypriniformes; Danionidae
Source: RefSeq, a predicted model, not a curated record